UACGUAGGGGGCAAGCGUUGUCCGGAAUCAUUGGGCGUAAAGCGCGCGUAGGCGGCCCUGUAAGUCCGUUGUGAAAGUCAAAGGCUCAACCUUUGAAAGCCGAUGGAUACUGCAGGGCUAGAGUCCGGAAGAGGCGAGUGGAAUUCCUGGUGUAGCGGUGAAAUGCGUAGAGAUCGGAAAGAACACCAACGGCGAAAGCACUCUGCUGGGCCGACACUGACACUGAGAGACGAAAGCUAGGGGAGCGAAUGGG
Molecule: ribosomal RNA, 253 nt
Filed under: uncultured bacterium
Lineage: Bacteria
Description: partial 16S ribosomal RNA
Rfam family: Bacterial small subunit ribosomal RNA
Source: RNAcentral